This is a long non-coding RNA of Carassius gibelio (silver crucian carp), 672 nucleotides long. RefSeq lists it as uncharacterized. Lineage: Eukaryota; Metazoa; Chordata; Actinopteri; Cypriniformes; Cyprinidae. The record is from RefSeq and is a predicted model, not a curated record. The transcript is spliced from 3 exons.
UCCAGCACAUGACCAACUUUCAACAUUGAAAUAUGGCUGAAAUAAGGUCAGUUGUUUAAAUGAAACAACGUUAAAAAUGUUUAAUGCUAAAUGGUAGAAAAAGGUUAACAAGCUUUUAAAUUAUUUAUAUUAAAUUAUUUAAAUUAAUUAAUUAUUUUAAUAGCAUUUUAAAAUAUUUUAGUCAUGAUACCUAUUCUAAAAUCUAAAGGUAUAUGUUAAAUAUUAUCAUCAUUAACAACAAUAAAACUAUAUACAUUUCGCUGCUUUAUCACACUGAAACAACUCCCAUUGGUAGUUGUAUUUUAUUACUUCUAUCAUGAUUGGUUAAUCUGGCUGUCAUUCAGGAAACUGGACAAUGAAUCGGUUCGCGCCUUUCUACAUUUAAAAAUAUGACCGUUAUUGUCGUCUUUCUGUGAGUGAGGCGGCUAACUGUGAGCUGCUGCUCGUUAUAACUGACUGCUCUAUCGGUCCCGAAUUAUUUCAUAUUUGCCUGUACAUUUUUUAUUUAUUUUGAGCGAAUUUGAGUCGUGACAUGUCAAUGGAGAACAAAAACUGUGAACACAAGAAGGGUCAGGUGUUCUGCGAGGUCCUGAAAACAUCCUGGCAAAAUGAGAGUCAUCGAGGAUCCAGCUUGUUCUUGAAACAUUGAAGUUUGCCCUCUGCAAGUGAACG